UACGGGAGGCAGCAGUGGGGAAUAUUGCACAAUGGGGGAACCCUGAUGCUGCGACGCCGCGUGAGCGAAGAAGGUUUUCGAAUCGUAAAGCUCUGUCCUAUGAGAAGGAUAAUGACGGUAUCAUAGGAGGAAGCCCCGGCUAAAUACGUGCCAGCAGCCGCGGUAAU
This 167-nucleotide ribosomal RNA is filed under the name uncultured Parvimonas sp. RNAcentral describes it as "partial 16S ribosomal RNA". It matches the Rfam family "Bacterial small subunit ribosomal RNA", at positions 340 to 524 of the family's 1533-position model. Lineage: Bacteria; Bacillati; Bacillota; Tissierellia; Tissierellales; Peptoniphilaceae. The record is from RNAcentral.